AGCAGCUUCUCAGCCUCCUUGCCAGACAGGCGCCCGUGGUACCACCUGGGCCAGGCACAGGCGAGCACAGGUGAGGCUGGAGGCCACGGCCUGGCCAGGUGAGGGGGAGAGACCCACACGGAUAGGGCAGAAGGCUUAGCGAGACAUACGCAGACCUUGGGGGUCCAGGCAGCACCACCACCCGGGCCCCAGAGCUGCUCUGCUCGCCUUUCUGGCCCUCGCCCCACCCAGGAGCCGGCAGGAGGCAGGCGGGCGCUGCAGGGGCGGGCGGCCACCAGGUGGCGGCCUGGUCCUCAGCAAGGAGGGGCCAGGGGCCUCCCCAGACCAGGUCUCCUUCUCUGCAGAUGCAGCCCGCUGCAGUGGGGAAACUGAGGCUGGAGGAACCAGCUCAGCCCAGGGUACCAGCCAGGAGGGCAGGGAUGGGGCCAGGGGAGGCACCGGCUUCCCUGAGUCACCCUGGACUCCAGUGCCUGAGACCUGAAGGAAGGAGGCCUGAGGGAGGCAGGUGCAGGACCCUGUGCCCUGAACCAGUGCUUAGCAGACGCCGUCCCUCAGGAUGCAGGCACACGCACACACACACACACACACAUGCACACGCACACACAUGAACACACAUGGACACGCGAACACACACAUGCACACGUACACACGUGUGCUGACACGCGGAUGCUGGGCCAGGGCUCACCACUCCAACGCGGGGUCCUGGCAGCCCAGCGGGUACCAGAGCUCAAUGGGAACCCCGCUGCACUCCCCAGCUGCACCCCCAGGCUCUGGCAACACGGUCGCAGCCACGGAGGCCCUGCCUGUCCCCAGGGCCCUCACAGGGGAGGAAAGGGUCCUGCUGAGCCCCUGACUCAAUGAGCCCUCCCCAAGGGCCUCUCUAAAUAGUUCCUUCCUGCCCAGAGACCGCCCAGCACCACGUCCAACUCUCACCACCUUCCCAGGGCAUCGGCCCCCCGCACCAAGUCCUCGUGUCCAGGAAGCUGCCCACCGGUCCUCCAGGAGGCCUUCAACCAGACCCUGUCCAUGCCCAGCCAGGGCCCACCCACCUGACGGACAGCGUGAAGCCCCCCGGGCUGCUCUCACUGGGCCUGGCAAGGAAGUCCCCACGCUGACCUCUGGAUAGGAACAGCUUCUCCGCCUCCACCCUGCUGAUGUUGGGGUGAAACCACCUGGAGUGGGGAGAGCAGCCUCCACGGCCAGGAUCUCGGACUUCCAGCCUCCAGAGCUGAGGGAAGGAGCGCCUGCCCGCCCAGCUUAUGGUCACUGUUUCAGCAGCCCAGCUGCCUGACGACGGGUUCUUAUCUCCCAGAGGGCAGAAGCUGUUCCCCGCACUGUGGCGUCCCAGGUCCAUAACACUGGAAUUGAGACACUCAGUAGAGGGAUGGGGGUCGGGGGGAGGAGGGGGUGGUGCACAGGGAGGGGCCGAGAGGCCAGCGGGUGCCUGUGCGGCCCCUGGGAGCCGUGCUCCGUGUCCGGGGCAGGUCAGGAAGCUCGGGGGAUGUCACUGCAAACCUCGCGGCCCCAUGCAGGCAGAGGCUGGUGCUGCCGGCAUCUGGAGGGGAGGCUGAGGCUGCAGCCCUGCCCCUUCCUGGUGAACAGCCCCCCCGUCCCAGGACCUUCCUAGUCUGCAGCCCCCCAUGAGGUCAGGGCUGCCCCGGAGCCCACGUCCGAGAUCACAACUGCUCCUUACUUUUGUGGCACUGGACUCCGGAGCUCAGGACUACAUUGUACUCAGGCGGCAGCCCCAGAGCCCAGAAUGUCAGCAAAAAAGAGCCACACCCGUGAGUGACUGAGGGAGGGAGGGAGGGAGGGAGGGAAGGGGUGUGAGAGGGAGGGAAGGAAGAGGGGAGGGAAGGGGAUGUGGGAGGGAGGGAAUGGUGGUGAGGGAGGGAGGGAAGGAAGGGGGAGAGGGACGGAGGGAACGGGGACAAGGGAGGGAGGGAGGGAGGCGGCAGAGGAAGGAACUGAGGACGUGGGGCUCCCCCAGCCCUCUGUCUUCCCCAGCUGUGCUGUCCACACAGGGGCGGCUUCUGGACACCUGGCUCUUGGGCAUCUCCUGGCUGCAUAGAUGAUACCCAGGUGGGGCCUGCUGGCUCUAGGACCUCCGCCCCACGCUGGCCCGGCCUGGUUGUCAGUGGAAUCAUAACCUGUGCACGAAUGGGUGGGGGUUGCUGUGCCCUGGGCAGACCUUGCUCCGGCCCCCAUGGCUGGUCCAGAGGAGGAGGAAGGUUGAGGGCGGUCCUGCCCCCUCUGCCCCACAAAGGGCAGCUGCAGGGCUCUUUCUAGAAUGGAGGCCUCACCGCAGUCUCUGUUAAAGGCCUCCAUGACCAGGCUCAUGCCUAUAAUCCCAAUUACUCAGGAGGCGGGUGGAUUGCUUGAGCCCAGGAGUUCAAGACCAGCCUGGGCAACAUAGCCAGACCUCAUCUCACUUAAGAAGAAAUAAAAAAUAAAGGCCUCCACAGGCUUUCACCCCUGAGAAUGGAGCCAAGAUCUCCCCUCCUCUGCAGCACCCACAGGUCCUGGCUGGUCCCCCUGGGGACCCCAUCCCCGGCUCCAGCCCACCCUGGCCAGGUCCCUCUCCCGGGGCCCCAGCUCCUCCUCCUCCUUCGGGCCCUGCCUCCACUCCUUGCAGCUCCUGCCCCUCUGCUCCCCUCUGAGCACAACUUCUGGAAGAAGUUUGUAUGGCUGUGUGAUUUGUAAAUAGGAAUGAAUUAAAAUUCAUGGCCGGGU
RNAcentral lists this long non-coding RNA (2733 nucleotides) under Homo sapiens (human). RNAcentral's name for it is "HSALNT0289692". The record is from RNAcentral. Lineage: Eukaryota; Metazoa; Chordata; Mammalia; Primates; Hominidae.